RNAcentral lists this ribosomal RNA (255 nucleotides) under uncultured bacterium. RNAcentral's name for it is "partial 16S ribosomal RNA". It matches the Rfam family "Bacterial small subunit ribosomal RNA", at positions 524 to 776 of the family's 1533-position model. The record is from RNAcentral.
UACGUAGGGGGCAAGCGUUGUCCGGAUUUAUUGGGCGUAAAGAGCGUGUAGGCGGUUUGGUAGGUCCGCUGUGAAAACUCGAGGCUCAACCUCGAGACGCCGGUGGAAACCAUCAGACUAGAGUCCGGAAGAGGAGAGUGGAAUUCCGUGGAUGUAGCGGUGAAAUGCGCAGAUAUCAGGAAGAACACCCGUGGCUAAGGCGGCUCUCUAGUACGGUACUGACGCUGAGACGCGAAAGCGUGGGGAGCGAACAGG